This 429-nucleotide ribosomal RNA is filed under the name Bacillota bacterium. RNAcentral describes it as "Firmicutes bacterium partial 16S ribosomal RNA". It matches the Rfam family "Bacterial small subunit ribosomal RNA", at positions 355 to 776 of the family's 1533-position model. Lineage: Bacteria; Bacillati; Bacillota. The record is from RNAcentral.
UGGGGAAUUUUGGACAAUGGGCGAAAGCCUGAUCCAGCAAUGCCGCGUGUGUGAAGAAGGCCUUCGGGUUGUAAAGCACUAUUGUCCGGAAAGAAAUGGCUCUGGUUAAUACCUGGGGUCGAUGACGGUACCGGAAGAAUAAGGACCGGCUAACUACGUGCCAGCAGCCGCGGUAAUACGUAGGGUCCAAGCGUUAAUCGGAAUUACUGGGCGUAAAGCGUGCGCAGGCGGUUGUGCAAGACCGAUGUGAAAUCCCCGAGCUUAACUUGGGAAUUGCAUUGGUGACUGCACGGCUAGAGUGUGUCAGAGGGGGGUAGAAUUCCACGUGUAGCAGUGAAAUGCGUAGAGAUGUGGAGGAAUACCGAUUGCGAAGGCAGCCCCCUGGGAUAACACUGACGCUCAUGCACGAAAGCGUGGGGAGCAAACAGG